CUAACAAGAUGGAGAGACCACCCUAAUCUCAAUUAUGGAGCGAAACUCUCAUACAAACAAUCGUACCAACCGAGGCCUCCUCCUCGAUAGGCUCAAGCUUCAGGUAUGUCUCUAGAAGACAUUGUGAAUAAACUUGUAGCUGGUUCUCUUAAAUUUCAGCAGGACAAGAAAAGAAAGCGACAAUUCAAAACCUAGAAAGCCAAAUAAGCAAACUUUUCAUAUAGGUCGGUAGGUUGGAGUCCCAAGGGAAAUUGUCGUCCUAAACAGAACCAAACCCUAGACAAAAUGUGAGCGCAAUGACUCUACGAAGCGGAACAGUCUUGGAACCCCUUCCAAGCACGAGUCAUGGGCACAACGCUGGAUGAGAAAAGAAGAAAAAUGAACCAACAGUCGAGACAGAAUCGGGAGCGCAGAAAAUGGCUACAAUACCAUAUCCUUUUCCUGGAAGAUUGGCAAAAGAUAAAAAAGAAGGAAGAAUAUCCUUAAAACGUUAUGGAAAAUUGAGUUGGAAGUACCGAAUCGAUCGUUUGUCGUAUUUAAUUUACUGAAGAACACAUUGGCGUGUCCAAUUAAGUAGUUGGUUGAAUCCAUCAAGGGAAAUAGCAAUCAAUCUAAACAACCUGUUCGGUUGAGACCGUUGGUUCGAGUUGGACCCUUCUAGUUCACAAGGCUACCAGAGAGCUAAAUCGUGGAUGCGUGUUUCGUGGUUGUUCGUUCGGUAAGGAUAGUUGUUGGACAUUCACGCAAUUAAUUUACACACAAAACGUUUGGUGAUUUGAGGCGUCCUCAAUCACUAUAAUUGACUUGUCAAUUAAAGGAGAAGACUUAUUAUCAAGGAUCGGUUCGAAUAUUCGAGCUCGAAGCUAGAAUUUCUUCAUAUUGGUUUAUUUUAUUUAAUUUCAUUUCAUUUCUGUCUU
Gossypium raimondii (Peruvian cotton) is the source of this 917-nucleotide long non-coding RNA. RefSeq lists it as uncharacterized. The record is from RefSeq and is a predicted model, not a curated record. NCBI's taxonomy places the organism in Eukaryota, Viridiplantae, Streptophyta, Magnoliopsida, Malvales, Malvaceae. The transcript has 2 exons.